UCAAGCUACUAAGGGCAUACGGUGGAUGCCUAGGCGCCAAGAGCCGAAGAAGGACGCGGUAAGCUGCGAAAAGCCACGGGGAACUGCAAGCAAGUAUUGAUCCGUGGAUAUCCGAAUGGGGAAACCCGGCCAUCGUCAUGGAUGGUCACCCGCAAGGGAGGGAACCUGGGGAACUGAAACAUCUAAGUACCCGGAGGAAGAGAAAUCAAACGAGAUGCCCACAGUAGCGGCGAGCGAAGAGGGCAGAGCCCAAACCGAGAAGCUCCGGCUUUUCGGGGUUGAGGACCGGCAGAAUCGAAGUCAGGCCUAGUUGAAUUACCUGGAAAGGUAAGCGAGAGAGGGUAAAAGCCCCGUAGACGAAAGGCAGAGCAGAGAGGCCGAGAUCCAGAGUACCACGAAGCACGAGGAAUUUUGUGGGAAGCAGGGGGGACCACCCUCCAAGGCUAAAAACUACUUGGCGACCGAUAGCGCAUAGUACCGUGAGGGAAAGGUGAAAAGAACCCCGGGAGGGGAGUGAAAUAGAACCUGAAACCGUAUGUCUACAAGCAGUCGAAGCGAAAGCGACGGCGUGCCUAUUGAAGAAUGAACCAACGAGUUAUCUGCACUAGCGAGGUUAAGUGGAAGACACGGAGCCGCAGCGAAAGCGAGUCUUAAGAGGGCGCUAGUUAGUGUAGGUAGACCCGAAACCGCAGUGAUCUACCCAUGUCCAGGUUGAAGCGCAGGUAAAAUUGCGUGGAGGACCGAACCGGUGAGCGUUGAAAAGCUUUCGGAUGAGAUGUGGGUAGGGGUGAAAUUCCAAUCGAACGCGGAGAUAGCUGGUUCUCCCCGAAAUAGCUUUAGGGCUAGCCUGAGGUAGUAAGUAUAGGCGGUAGAGCACUGAUCGGGCUAGGGGCCGUAAAGGUUACCGAACCCUGUCAAACUCCGAAUGGAUAUACUGUAGAGCCUUGGAGUCAGACUACGAGUGAUAAGAUCCGUGGUCAAAAGGGAAACAGCCCAGACCACCAGCUAAGGUCCCCAAUGUCGUACUAAGUGGAAAAGGAUGUGGGGUUUCAUAAACAACCAGGAUGUUGGCUCAGAAGCAGCCACCAUUUAAAGAGUGCGUAAUAGCUCACUGGUCGAGAGACCCUGCGCCGAAGAUUCCCGGGGCUAAAGUACGAAACCGAAGCUGUGGCUGUAUACGUAAAGUAUACGGGGUAGGGGAGCGUUCCCAUAGGGUAGAAGUCGAACUGGAAGGUUCGGUGGACUUGUGGGAAGUGAGAAUGUUGGUAUGAGUAGCGAAAAGAAAGGUGAGAAUCCUUUCCACCGAAAGCAUAAGGAUUCCUGAGCAACGAUCGUCGUCUCAGGGUAAGUCGGGACCUAAUCCGAGGCAGAGAGCGUAGGAGAUGGACAACUGGUUGAUAUUCCAGUACCGGUAGUAAUUGUUUGAGCAAUGGAGUGACACAGAAGGGCAGGCAAGCAUGCGAAUGGAAGAGCAUGUGUAAGCGUGUAGGGUGGUGCAUAGGCAAAUCCGUGCACUGAAAGCCUGAGGCGUGAUGCGGAGUGAGCAGAGAUGCGAGCGAAGUUGUUGACCCCACACUGUCGAGAAAAGCUUCUAGUGAGAGAGCUACCGCCCGUACCGUAAACCGACACAGGUAUGCGGGGAGAGAAUCCUAAGGUGCGCGGGAGAACCCUCGUUAAGGAACUCGGCAAAAUGUACCCGUAACUUCGGGAUAAGGGUAGCCACUGUUGUGAAGUCCCAUGCGGAUGGAGCAUAGAGUGGUCGCAGAGAAGAGGCCCAAGCGACUGUUUACCAUAAACACAGGUGCCUGCUAAAGCGAAAGCUGACGUAUAGGUGCUGACACCUGCCCAGUGCCGGAAGGUUAAGGAAGGAUGUUCGGAUUAGUCCAAAGCAUUCGACUGAAGCCCCGGUGAACGGCGGCCGUAACUAUAACGGUCCUAAGGUAGCGAAAUUCCUUGUCGGGUAAGUUCCGACCCGCACGAAAGGUGUAACGAUUUGGGCACUGUCUCAACGAGGGACUCGGUGAAAUUGAAAUACCUGUGAAGAUGCAGGUUACCCGCGACUGGACAGAAAGACCCCAUGGAGCUUUACUGUAACCUGACAUUGGGUUUUGAUACAUUACGUACAGGAUAGGUGGGAGGCAUGGAAAGCUGGACGCUAGUCUGGCUGGAGCCGCCGUUGGGAUACCACCCUUGAUGUAUUGAAAUUCUAACCGCGAGAGUAACGAAAUCCGGGACAGUGUCAGGCGGGCAGUUUGACUGGGGCGGUCGCCUCCGAAAGAGUA
This 2282-nucleotide ribosomal RNA is filed under the name human gut metagenome. RNAcentral describes it as "bacterial LSU rRNA". It matches the Rfam family "Bacterial large subunit ribosomal RNA", at positions 3 to 2299 of the family's 2925-position model. The record is from RNAcentral.